UGAGGAAUAUUGGUCAAUGGACGAGAGUCUGAACCAGCCAAGUAGCGUGCAGGAAGACGGCCCUAUGGGUUGUAAACUGCUUUUAUAGGGGAAUAAAGUGAGCUACGUGUAGUUUAUUGCAUGUACCCUAUGAAUAAGGACCGGCUAAUUCCGUGCCAGCAGCCGCGGUAAUACGGAAGGUUCAGGCGUUAUCCGGAUUUAUUGGGUUUAAAGGGAGCGUAGGCUGGAGAUUAAGUGUGUUGUGAAAUGUAGACGCUCAACAUCUGAAUUGCAGCGCAUACUGGUUUCCUUGAGUACGCACAACGUUGGCGGAAUUCGUCGUGUAGCGGUGAAAUGCUUAGAUAUGACGAAGAACUCCGAUUGCGAAGGCAGCUGACGGGAGCGCAACUGACGCUUAAGCUCGAAGGUGCGGGUAUCAAACAGGAUUAGAUACCCUGGUAGUCCGCACAGUAAACGAUGGAUGCCCGCUGUUGGUACCUGGUAUCAGCGGCUAAGCGAAAGCAUUAAGCAUCCCACCUGGGGAGUACGCCGGCAACGGUG
Molecule: ribosomal RNA, 540 nt
Filed under: uncultured bacterium
Lineage: Bacteria
Description: bacterial SSU rRNA
Rfam family: Bacterial small subunit ribosomal RNA
Source: RNAcentral